GCGAGUAGUAAUCUACAUUAUUAAUGUAAGAACGACAUAAAAGAUAAAAUUAUAUUGAAUUAUAUAAUUAGUGUCAUUACAACUAAUCCUAUCGAAUACCCACAAUAACAAAAUAAUAGAUACAUAAGUUCACAAAAAUAAUUCCGCAAUUCUUCAUCGUAUUGAAAUCUUCCAAGUGCUAUAUUUUUGGACAUUAUUUAUAUGACCUGAAAUAACAAUAAAUGUAUGUUAAGAUAUGAAAUCAAGUGAAUAAAAAUAGUAAUUCUAUAUGUAAAUAUAUUCUGAAAGGAGCUGCCAACUUCAACCAAUUAAAAUGAAUCCUAAUAACUGGGAGAACAUUAAAAAAAUUAUUUAACAAAACUCACAAUUGCUCAACCUUUCAUUCAUUAUGUCUUGAUCAAUUAAGGGAACAAACAAAUGAAAGAGAAUGGUCAAUUAACAAAGUUCACUAAUUCGCAAAAUUGUACUACUCAGGCCAAAAAAGAUGGAUCCUCUAGUUACUGCUCCAAAAACCAACCUUUUCAAUUCUCUUUUCAGUAACACACAUAGCACUAUAGAUGUAUCAUACAACUUAAUUUUAUCAUUAUAGUUAAAAAUCAUCUUAACACAAACUUAAUCAUGUAAAUCAGCUGACCGCUAGAAGUAUUAGGGGAAAGCAAGCAGAACAAUAGCCUCUUAAAAAUAACAGAGACAACUAUUUGACAACACAAAUUGAGAUGCAAAACAAACACCAACGUAUAACCAAGUUUGACACUUCACGCUGUAACAAAUCUAAUUAUUCUAGAUAAUCAAAUUAUCCAGCAUUUUCCCCAUUCAAUUUCAGAGAGUAUGGAGCCAUACCUAGAAUAGAACAAGAGUUGCAAAUUAUUUGGCUAUUAGUAUGUUGAGAAUAACAAUGGUAACCACUAUUCCUUAAACUUGGUGAUCUGAACAACUUCAACUUUCCCUAUACAUAUAUUUCCUGCAGCAAAGCCUUUACAUACAGAGAUAGUAUUCUGAUUAGCAAUCUGAUAAACAAUAACAUAAUUUGUAUUAUCAAGUGUGAUGUUUAUCACCUUUUAUCUAUUUUCGUAAAAAUUUCUUUUAAGAAUACUUAAUAAAGACAAAUAAAGGGUAUUUUUUUGGAAGCAAUAUGGCAUAGGCAAAACAUCCUUUGAUCACAUACUACAUAAAUAAAAUCUAUUCAAGCCCUUUCCACAGAGGCAAAUGAUAAAAUCCUGAUCCAAAUAGAUAGUCAAUCUUAGAUAUAAAGUUCCUAUACAUAUAGGAAGAAUCUUACAAUUAGUAUUAAAUUUGAGCAGCUUUGGCUUUUACGAUCCAUUAUAACUGCUUGAUUACCUAUCUUAUCUGCACUAUCUUUAAGAGCAAAAAGAAUACUAAAACAUCUGUUAAAGAUUUGAAAAAGGUAAGAUGUUUAAAAACAAAUAAGGGGAGAAGGGAAUUCAAUUUUCUAGAGAUGGUUGCUCUCUUAGGCAGCACGUUAAAAGUGUAUGAUGUCUAAACAUCUAACACAAGGGUGAUAGAGUAUAUUUUCAUCAUGUUCGCUUGACAGCUUCCACAAUCAAACUUUCCCAAUCACAUCAUGUCUCUAAAAUAUAAUGGUCCUUGCUAACUUGUGCAUAAUUAAAUUAGAAAGAGAAUCGAGUUAGCCAUGAAAAUUAUGUAAAAAUGAGAGAUUAUUUACUUUGUUGAGGACUUAUCUUUUCACUAAAAAGAAAAAUCUUUCUUAGCCGUGUAACUUUCAAGUUUUCCUCUUCACUUAAGAAACAUUAUAAAAGAAAAAUAUAUCACCAUAACAAAGAGAUUAAGGGAAAAAAAUAUAAUUCUCAUAUGAUAAAAAAUUCAAGCAAAUAUUAGAUAUUUGAGCGGUUACCUCUAGAAUUGCCCAUAUGAAUAUGAUGUUGUCUCAUUGAGAAAGAUCGAGAAGAGUUCAUUACUGUGCAAAAGAAAACAUGAGCCACAAAAUUAUUUAUCACUCUACAAAAUGGAAGCCAAAGGCCUUCUAAGAUGAGAAAGUUACAAGAAAAUAGCAUGAAGUGAUUAAAUAAAUUUUGUAACCGGACGCCGUUAUAUAAGAAGGUAUUGUAACUGUCAAAAAUAAACAUGCAUUGUGAAUUUCAAUUCUAUUAGAGAUCCUAACAUCACUACAUGCUUUUGGUGAUAUAGUAUUCAAGUUAUUUACCAGGUCAUAGUAACUAGAGAUGUUCCAAGAACAUUAGUCAAGGUGUUCUGAGUUGAAACAUGUCAGAUGAAAUAACCACCUGCCUCUGCUGAGCAAAAUCAUGAAAAAACUUAACAUAUGAACAAAAGUUGUAAUUUUCUGAUUUUAGUAAACUAAUACUUUUUCAUACUAGACCUUGUGACUAAUGCUUUCAAAUCUCUAUUGUUUACAAAAUCUGUAAUUAGGUUGCCUUGCAAAUUAAAAUUAGAUAUCUUAACUUACCGUAGAAUCUUACAAUGCAAGACACCCACUGUUUCAAAAGUUUCAUAUCUAAAUUAACUUUUGGUUUGAUUCCUUCUUUCUAAUUAAUGAAAAAUUUCAUUUGAAAAAACCUUCAUGACUCCAGAUUCAUCUCCUUUCUCUAAAUUUUGGACCCAUCAUGCCUCAACAAUUAGAAGACUAAAUUUUCUAGAAAAUAAAAUGUCAGACUAGCACAUUGCAAAUACACAUUCCUAUAUAAACCCAACCACGUCACCGCCUCCGUCCCCCACUACACUAAGAUUAGGUCUCAGAUGAUUAACCUAGAAACGUUUUUACAUCUCAUCAACCAUGAACUCCUCUAAACUGCAUUCCAAUUCCCUUUUUCAAGUUUUUUUUUACAUACUCCAUCAAAUCUUAUCUCAUCAAACCCAUAAUAUAAAAGUAAUAGAUUUCAAGAGAGAGAGAGAGAAGGGGGAGGGGGGUGACUGAGGGAGUGAGAGAGAUAUGAGUUGGGUUACCUUGGGUUGAUGGUCGGCGAUGAUUAGAAAAAGAUGAGAUUGGCAUCGGCGCGACUGAGAGAGAUGAAAGCCCUUUUGCUUAUUUCCUCCAUCUAAAUUUUUCCUUAAUUGAAUCUAUUCAAAUUACGGGAAAAAUAUUUAGAGGGAAUAGGUGAUUGUUGUGAAAAAUAAUGGGAGGGAAAACCGUUUAAUUGACAGUAAAAGAGCACCUUUUCCUAGAAAGUAUUGAUCUACCGCUAAUAUCUCAAUUUUAGGAAUACUAUAUCGGCAAUAAGUUUAUUGCCCCUAAAUAAUAGUCGGUAAAAGAUAUUUUUGUUGUAAUGUCAGUUUUUUCUUCUCCUGAGUUCGGAGAACUCGGAUCCCUUUUUCUCUUCUUUUCCUCACCCUGUCUCGAAGCAGGGAACUCGGAGGGGCAAUCCUCGCCACCAGAUGGGGACCUCAUUGCA
This 3386-nucleotide long non-coding RNA is filed under the name Nicotiana tabacum (common tobacco). RNAcentral describes it as "long non-coding RNA (NTAB_LNC001439)". The record is from RNAcentral. Lineage: Eukaryota; Viridiplantae; Streptophyta; Magnoliopsida; Solanales; Solanaceae.